This 333-nucleotide ribosomal RNA is filed under the name Triticum aestivum (bread wheat). RNAcentral describes it as "partial small subunit ribosomal RNA". Lineage: Eukaryota; Viridiplantae; Streptophyta; Magnoliopsida; Poales; Poaceae. The record is from RNAcentral.
AUAGAUCACCUACUUUCCAGUUGCGUGUUCUCCCCUAUCACAUGGCACGAGAUUCUCUCAUGGUGCCUGCUCACCACCCCUCCUAUGGACGGCACGGCGACCUUCUUCGCCUGGUGGUCUCUAGCGGCCGAAACCUUCCCGGGCUGCCUGUGCAAAGGACUCAACUCCAUCGUCACGUUUACUGCUUGGGCCAUCUGGAAGCAUCGCAACGCGGCCAUCUUUGACGACAUCCGACCCUCCACCAAAGAUCUGGUCCUAACCAUCAAGGAAGAUGCUCGCCUGUGGGCCAAGACAGGCGCCAAGGGUUUAGCUACCAUCAUACCUGUAGCCUGA